GACGAACCGUGCGAACGUUGUUCGGAAUCACUGGGCUUAAAGGGCGCGUAGGCGGGUCACCAAGUCCGGGGUGAAAUCUUUCGGCUUAACCGGAAAAUAGCCUUGGAUACUGGUGGUCUCGAGCGAGGUAGGGGCCGUUGGAACUUCCGGUGGAGCGGUGAAAUGCGUUGAUAUCGGAAGGAACGCCGGUGGCGAAAGCGAACGGCUGGACCUCUUCUGACGCUGAGGCGCGAAAGCCAGGGGAGCAAACGGG
RNAcentral lists this ribosomal RNA (253 nucleotides) under uncultured bacterium. RNAcentral's name for it is "partial 16S ribosomal RNA". It matches the Rfam family "Bacterial small subunit ribosomal RNA", at positions 524 to 776 of the family's 1533-position model. The record is from RNAcentral.